This 378-nucleotide ribosomal RNA is filed under the name Eubacterium sp. RNAcentral's name for it is "bacterial SSU rRNA". It matches the Rfam family "Bacterial small subunit ribosomal RNA", at positions 1 to 360 of the family's 1533-position model. The record is from RNAcentral. Lineage: Bacteria; Bacillati; Bacillota; Clostridia; Eubacteriales; Eubacteriaceae.
AGUUUUAAGAGUUUGAUCCUGGCUCAGGACGAACGCUGGCGGCGUGCCUAACACAUGCAAGUCGAACGAAGCUUGAUGAAUGAUUUCUUCGGAAUGAUUUCUGAUAUGACUGAGUGGCGGACGGGUGAGUAACGCGUGAGCAACCUGCCCUUCGGAGGGGGAUAGUGUCUGGAAACGGACAGUAAUACCGCAUAACGUAUUUUUACCGCAUGAUAGAAAUACCAAAACUGAGGUGCCGAAGGAUGGGCUCGCGUUGGAUUAGAUAGUUGGUGGGGUAACGGCCUACCAAGUCGACGAUCCAUAGCCGGACUGAGAGGUUGAACGGCCACAUUGGGACUGAGACACGGCCCAGACUCCUACGGGAGGCAGCAGUGGGGA